Molecule: ribosomal RNA, 406 nt
Filed under: uncultured bacterium
Lineage: Bacteria
Description: partial 16S ribosomal RNA
Rfam family: Bacterial small subunit ribosomal RNA
Source: RNAcentral
AUUGAACGCUUGCGGCAGGCCUAACACAUGCAAGUCGAACGAGUGGCGGACGGGUGAGUAAUGUCUGGGAAACUGCCCGAUGGAGGGGGAUAACUACUGGAACCGGUAGCUAAUACCGCAUACCAUCAGAUGUGCCCAGAUGGGAUUAGCUAGUAGGUGGGGUAACGGCUCACCAAGGCGACGAUCCCUAGCUGGUCUGAGAGGAUGACCAGCCACACUGGAACUGAGAAACGGUCCAGACUCCUACGGGAGGCAGCAGUGGGGAAUAUUGCACAAUGGGCGCAAGCCUGAUGCAGCCAUGCCGCGUGUAUGAAGAAGGCCUUCGGGUUGUAAAGUACUUUCAGCGGGGAGGCGUUACCCGCAGAAGAAGCACCGGCUAACUCCGUGCCAGCAGCCGCGGUAAUAC